AUGAACGAUAAUGCUAGCCCCGAACCAGACGGUUUUGGGCCAGCUUUCUACAAGGCCAAUUGGGACCUAGUUAAAAAUGACCUUCUAUCCCUUCUCAACAGUUUCCACUCCUGCUCUGCAGAUCUUAGGCGUAUCAACAAAGCUUACAUUGUCCUCAUCCCCAAAAAACCUGGCACAACUGACCCUGACCAGAUGCGUCCGAUUUCCCUUCAAAACUGCUCGGUCAAACUAUGCUCCAAGUGCCUUUCUAUUAGAGUUCAGCCGGUUAUCCGUGAUCUUGUCCAUGCGGAUCAAUCCGGCUUUAUCAAAGGCCGGUGUAUCUCGGAGAACUUCAUUCUCGCAGCUGAUAUUGUGCAAGCUUGCCACAAAAGAAAAUGCCCGGCCUUAGUCUUAAAAUUGGAUUUUAGGAAAGCCUUUGACUCUGUCUCUUGGGAGAGCCUUUAUCGUAUCCUUCAAGCCAAAGGCUUUUCAGAAACUUGGAUUCGUUGGAUUAUGAUGCUGAACGACUCUGGCCAAUCGGCUAUUCUUCUUAACGGCGUUCCCGGGAACUGGAUUCAAUGUAAAAAUGGUCUCAGACAAGGCGACCCCAUUUCACCUUACCUCUUCAUCAUUAUUGCCGAUAUCCUCCAACGCAUGAUCCUAGAGGCCUCAGCUCAGUGGCUACUGCAGCACCCAAUUGUUCCCAACUCGCCAUGUCCCAUUCUUCAAUACGCGGAUGACACUCUAAAUAUCAUAAACGCAGAUGAAGAUAACCUUGCCUCCCUAAAAUCUAUCCUGCUCAAUUUCUCCCUCGCCACGAGUCUCCACAUUAAUUUUGCUAAGAGCACUUUUGCUCCAAUCCAUGUUGACCCUUCUGUGGCCGCUCGCAUGGCAAGUAUGUUGGGUUGCUCGGUCACUACCUUCCCGCCGAACUAUCUUGGUCUCCCUUUGUCUACCCACAAACUUCGUCUAAUAGAUUUCCACCCGUUAAUUGCUAAGGUUGACAAAAGGUUAGCUGGUUGGCGAGGACACCUUCUCUCUGCGGCCGGUAGGGCAGUUCUUUUCAACUCUGUAAUUCGAGCUCUUCCCACCUAUGCGAUGACCGUUAUGCCGCUUCUUGUUGGUUCUAUUCAGGAGAUUGACAAGCGGUGUCGUGCUUUCUUUUGGGCUGGCGAUGACCACGUGAAUGGGGGUCAAUGCAAAGUUGCUUGGGCAGACGUCUGUGCCCCCACUAAGAAGGGCGUCCUGGGCUUUAGAUGCCUUCGUACUCAUAAUACUAGAUCAUCGAUGGCGCGCAUUGCUGCGCCCGUCUAUUUGUAA
This 1299-nucleotide ribosomal RNA is filed under the name Triticum aestivum (bread wheat). RNAcentral's name for it is "partial small subunit ribosomal RNA". Lineage: Eukaryota; Viridiplantae; Streptophyta; Magnoliopsida; Poales; Poaceae. The record is from RNAcentral.